UCACUGGAUAGAAAAUCAACACUAAAUAUGUUACAUAAAAAUAGAACAUCACAACGAAUUGAUGAAUCAGAGCGCGAUGUGAUCACAAACUCGAUGCCGCAAUUGCCGAAUUCAGG
Long non-coding RNA from Papilio machaon (common yellow swallowtail), 116 nucleotides. RefSeq lists it as uncharacterized. The record is from RefSeq and is a predicted model, not a curated record. Lineage: Eukaryota; Metazoa; Arthropoda; Insecta; Lepidoptera; Papilionidae. The transcript has 3 exons.